RNAcentral lists this ribosomal RNA (301 nucleotides) under uncultured bacterium. RNAcentral describes it as "partial 16S ribosomal RNA". It matches the Rfam family "Bacterial small subunit ribosomal RNA", at positions 509 to 808 of the family's 1533-position model. The record is from RNAcentral.
CAGAGCCGCGGGAAUACAGAGGGUGCGAGCGUUAAUCGGAUUUACUGGGCGUAAAGCGUGCGUAGGCGGCUUUUUAAGUCGGAUGUGAAAUCCCUGAGCUUAACUUAGGAAUUGCAUUCGAUACUGGGAAGCUAGAGUAUGGGAGAGGAUGGUAGAAUUCCAGGUGUAGCGGUGAAAUGCGUAGAGAUCUGGAGGAAUACCGAUGGCGAAGGCAGCCAUCUGGCCUAAUACUGACGCUGAGGUACGAAAGCAUGGGGAGCAAACAGGAUUAGAUACCCCUGUAGUCCCUGUCUCUUAUACA